Molecule: ribosomal RNA, 251 nt
Filed under: uncultured bacterium
Lineage: Bacteria
Description: partial 16S ribosomal RNA
Rfam family: Bacterial small subunit ribosomal RNA
Source: RNAcentral
UACGAAGGGGGCUAGCGUUGCUCGGAAUCACUGGGCGUAAAGGGUGCGUAGGCGGGUCUUUAAGUCAGGGGUGAAUCCUGGAGCUCACUCCAGAACUGCCUUUGAUACUGAAGAUCUUGAGUUCGGGAGAGGUGAGUGGAACUGCGAGUGUAGAGGUGAAAUUCGUAGAUAUUCGCAAGAACACCAGUGGCGAAGGCGGCUCACUGGCCCGAUACUGACGCUGAGGCACGAAAGCGUGGGGAGCAAACAGG